UUUCUGACUCGAUGUCGGAGCCGGAGC
This 27-nucleotide small RNA is filed under the name Bombyx mori (domestic silkworm). RNAcentral's name for it is "ovarian small RNA-4158". The record is from RNAcentral. Lineage: Eukaryota; Metazoa; Arthropoda; Insecta; Lepidoptera; Bombycidae.